GACGAACGCUGGCGGCGUGCCUAACACAUGCAAGUCGAGCGAGGUUCAACCAGUGGCAACACUGGGGACGACCUAGCGGCGAACGGGUGAGUAACACGUGAGAAACUUGCCCCGGAGUUCGGGAUAACCCGAGGAAACUCGAGCUAAUACCGAAUGCCCUCCUCCGAUCGCAUGAUCGGUUGAGGAAAGAUUUAUCGCUCCGGGAGAGUCUCGCGGCCUAUCAGCUAGUUGGCGGGUAACGCCACAAGGCAUCGACGGUAGCUGGUCUGAGAGGACGAUCAGCCACACUGGGACUGAGACACGGCCCAGACUCCUACGGGAGGCAG
This 326-nucleotide ribosomal RNA is filed under the name uncultured Actinomycetes bacterium. Its description in RNAcentral is "bacterial SSU rRNA". It matches the Rfam family "Bacterial small subunit ribosomal RNA", at positions 28 to 351 of the family's 1533-position model. Lineage: Bacteria; Bacillati; Actinomycetota; Actinomycetes. The record is from RNAcentral.